AAAACUUUUUCUUCCGAAUCAUUCCAUUUUCUUUUUGUUUUGAAAUUUUCUUCCUUUCGUUCUUCCUCUCCUGGCGCUUUCUAGUCUGGUUCACACAGCCUAUCAUUUCUUCUUUGUUCUUCGGCGUACUCAGGGACCUCCAUUUCCAGGUCUACCUCCUCUUUUCUUCUUAGGGUUUCUGUUGCAAGAAUAUGUGCUAGAAUAUUUGCGUGUCUUGGUCUGUGUUGGAAGCUGAUGUUCUUUAACUCACUUAAUUUCUGUUGAAUAUCGUGAAUAUAUGCCCCUAUCAGUGAUCGAUCUUGCCCUUCUGUAUUGCAUUUUUUAAUUACUGUAAGAGAAUCUCCUUCAAAGAUGACUGACUACCAUCCCUUAUCUGCUCUUAUAUGAACUGCUGCCCGGCAAGCUACUACUUUCGCAGCAAAUGCAGAGGUGAUGUCGUUGUGGAUCUUUGAAUAAGAUAACAGAACUCUGCCUUCAUCAUCUCUGGCCACAAUACUUGAGGCUGAGUAUUUCUGGCUUUCUUUGUAUGCUCCGUCGAAGUUUAUCUUUAUGAAAUCGCGAUGUGGGUGCCUCCAUCUCUUGUUUUCUAUAACUGUUGUCGAUUACUCUUUCCAAGACCAGUUAAUUCAGUAAUGUAGUUGUUGGUGAAAUUUGCAAUUUCUUUUCCAUUGCUGACUUUUCCUUCGUGUAUUCUUCUAUUUCGGUCUCCCCAUAUGGCCCAAAGUGCGCAGCAGAAUAAACAACUUUGCCAAGGGUUGAGCUGUUCUAACACCCAGGUUAGCCACUGUACAAAGUUCGUGCUCUGGUCCAUAAUAAUAUUCUAAAAUGAUAAUGCUCUCCAUACUUAUGUUGUAACAGGGCAUUCUCGAAAUAGGUGGUCCAUUGUUUCAGCUCUUUCACCACAUCUGGGCCAGUUUGUGUUUGCUGAUAAUUUCCUGUGCUGUAAAUUCACUUUUGUAGGCAAAAAGUUCCAUGAUAGUCUCCAUAUUGUAAUCUUUAUCUUUGUUGGUAAAUUCAGGCUCCAAAGUUUUUUGUAGAAUUUCCUGUAGUUGGUUUGUAAAGCAUAAGCUCUAGGAUUUUCAUCCGAAUUCUAUAAUAGUUUAUAGGCACUUCGGACCAUGAAUUCACCUGAUGAUUCUCCUCCCCAAAUAAGGAAAUCCUCAUGAAGAGUACGUGCCAGAGGGAUUCGAAGAAUUCUUGCAGCGUCUUCUUCUGUGAAGGUAUUGUUAAUCAGCUCCCUCUUCCAAAGCCUUUUAUUACUAUCAAUUAACUCAUUAACUUUAAGAUCACACAUUGAAGUAAUCGCUGUUGAUAGUCUGAAAUUUACUGCAUCUGGGAUCCAAGCAUCAUCAUUAACUGAAAUAGUAGUACCCGUGCCAACCCUCCAGCAUAAACCUUUUGCCAGUAAAGCCUUUGCUGCCCAAAUACUUUUCCACACAUAAGAAUAAGAAUUUCCCAGACGGGAGUUUAAAAAAUGAUCAUUUGGAAAGUAUUUCGCUUUAAAAACUUGCGUAACAAGAGCAUUCUAAUUAUUGAUAAUUCGCCAUCCUUGUUUAGCAAGUAAGGAUAAAUUGAAUUGAGCCAUAUCUCUAAAACCCAUGCCUCCCUCCUCUUUAAAGCUGCACAAAGCUUUCCAUUGACACCAAUGAAUCUCUUUCUUCCUUUGGCCUUUUUGCCACCAGAAUCUAGCAAACAAAUUUUCAAACUCCCCACACAAAGAUUUUGGUAGAAGGAAGCAUGCCAUAGCGUAGGCUGGUAUUGCUUGAAGUAUUGAUUUUAUGAAAACCUCCUUACCCCACUGUGAAAGAAAUCGUGUACUCCAAUUCUCAACCCUCUGCUUAAUCCUAUCCUUGAGAUUUUGGAAAGAUUCCUUCUUUUGCCUUCCUACCACAUUGGGAAGUCCUAGAUAUUUUUCCAUAUUUGUUGAUCGCCUUAUUCCCAUUUCAAUUGAGAUAGUUGCUUUGUCCCCUUCCACUGUAUUAGAGCUGAAGAAAAUCAUGGACUUACUGAAAUUUACGCAUUGACCUGAACACUUCUCAUAUUCCUUCAAAAUAUCUUUUAAGAUCUUUGCCCUAUUCUUUGUAGCUUCACUAAACAGAAUACAAUCAUCCGCAAAUAGUAAAUGUGAGAUCGUUGGGCCCCUGCUACUAGCCUUAACUCCUUUUAUCAAACCCACUGUUGUUGUUGUCCUAAGUAAGGACGAAAGUCCCUCGCUACAAAUCAGAAAAAGAAAAGGGCUAAGUGGAUCACCUUGUCGAAGUCCUCUGGUGGGUUUGAAAACAUCACCUCUCCUUCCAUUGAUGUUAACUGUGUAAGAGACUGUAGAGACAUAUCUCAGAAUUAAUGACACCCAUUCUUCUGCAAAACCCAUACGUAACAGUACUUCCUUCAAGAAUGUCCACUCAACUCUAUCAUAGGCUUUACUCAUGUCUAACUUGACUGCCAUGUAUCCUAUUUUCCCCGUUCAUUUUUACGAAGUGUAUGAAGAAUUUCAUAAGAAAUCAACACAUUAUCAAAAAUUAAUCUUCCCGGAAUGAAUGCACUUUGAGCAUUGUUAAUACAUCUGUCAAUAAAUUCCUAUAGACGAUUAGCAAUAGUUUUUGCAAUAAUUUUUAUAAAUAACCGUACAUAGACUAAUAGGCCUGAAGUUGACAAGAUUUGUGGGAUCUGGAGUCUUCGGAAUAAGUACAAUCUCGGUAAGAUUGGAGUCUUCAAAAUUUUGACCGUCAUUCAGAACUCUCAAACAAAAGGUUUCAACGUCUUUCCCCACAAUAUGCCAGUAUUUUUGAAAGAAAAGUGUCGAAAAGCCAUCAUAACCUGGUGCUUUUGUGGGCCCCAUUUCUGUUACUGCCCUGAAAAUCUCUUCUGCCGUAUAUUUUUCCAGUAGGUUUCUAUUGAUGUUUGAAGAAAUGCUAUUCUUGAUACCUGACAGAAGAUGAGAAAGAUUUCUAACCCCAUUAGAUAAAAAAAGAUUUUGGAAGUAUUUUGUGGCAAUUUCAUUAAUUUCUGAUUCUUCAAAAAUCUUCUUUCCAUCAUCUGUGACCAGCCUGUUUAUUGUGUUGAUUCGUUUCCGCAUUGAGGCAUGCUUAUGGAAAAAUGUCGUAUUCUUAUCCCCUAGCUGGAGCCAAUUUGCUCUUGCUCUUUGUUCCCAGUACAUUUCAUCUUUAUCAAUCUCCAAAUUUAAAUGGAUUCACGUAUUAAUUAUCUGUGCCAUUGUAUCCUCGUCUCUCUCUUUCUCCAUUAAAAUUUCUAACUCCUUUGUGAACUUAUUCGUCAGCUCCUUUCGGGUCUUCUGUAUUGAUUUUGCCCAUCUUGACAGACUGGUCAGUAAUCUUUCAAGCUUUUCAACAAUAGAUCCACUUGACGACUUCCAUGAAUUCUUAAUCUCCUCUUCAAUCGACUCUUCUACAGUCCACCACGCCUCAAACUUAAAUCUUGGGGUUCCUUUGAAGUUAUCAACAUUAUUUGUACUAAUGAAGAGAGGGCAAUGAUCGGAAAGUGAAGAUGUUAAAUGGUGUAUAUUGCCUAUUGGGAACAGUUUCAUCCAUUCUUCAUUUGCAACACCCCUAUCUAGUCUUUCUCUAAUAUUUGUACUCGGUAGAUUCCCUCUCUCCCACGUGUACCAUGCUCCCGUAUAUCCCACAUCAAUGAGUUGACAUUCUUCCAAUACCUCCCGAAAUGCUUCCAUUCGUUUCUCCUCCCUCGGCUGACCUCCCUUCUUUUCAAAAGAAUACAUUAUUUCAUCGAAAUCGCCACUAACAAGCCACGGAUAGUUUUGUUCCUGUCCCAAAAAUCUUAGUAAAUUCCAUGAGGCAAUUUUAUUCUGAAUAUAAAGUGACCCAUAAAAUCCUGUGAAUCUCCAUUCUUUACUAACAUCGCCUUCUUUGAUCAACACAUCAAUAUGAUUAGUUGAGAAAGUUUUAAGACUAACCUGAGUUUCCUCUUUCCAUGCUAGGUAGGUCCCUCUUCUCAUACCUUCUGCUCCUACAUCAAAAACAUUCAUAAAACCACAUCGUCUCCUAAUUAUCUCCAUACGUCUUUCAUUAACUUUAGUCUCCAUAAGGAAGACUAUUUGGGGCUUAUUUUGCUUCAGUAAAAAUCGAAGCCUUCGUACUGCCCGUGGAUUCCCCAAUCCACGAACAUUCCAGCAUAUGAUUUUUAUUGUGUCCGGUCGGCUUGCCUAUUGGCAGCCGCCGAUCUAUUUUGGGUGGGGUUCUCUCUCAUUAAAUUUGUUUCAACCUCGUUUAUUGAAUUCUGUCCAUCACAUCGCCUCCUCUUUACUGCUCAUUCCCAUGUCUCUUUUCUGUUGUAAUCCUCAUAUUCAAUCUUUGUCAAUUUCUUUUUCUGUAAUUUACUUUCUGUGCCAUGAUAAUUCAACACUUCAGCUAGUUCAGCUCUUUUCCACCUGGAUUUCCUGGCUGGCUUUAUUGAGUCUUCGACUGUGAUACCUUUCUUUGACUUAUUCCCGUCAACUUCACCCAUAUUUUGCGUUCUUGUCUCCUUUGCUGUUAUUUUACCCACGAAUCCUCUUGUACUUCUUGGAUCAUACCACUACUUUUACCACUCUGUAAGUACAUCUCCUGGUCCUCCUUACCACCUCCUCUAUACGAACACUGUGGUUGUAGUUUUUUUGCUAAAGCGUUAAAUUUCAGGCUCUCCCUGCCAACCAAAUUUAUUUCUACUUUCAGUGCUAAAGAGAAAGGUGGGUUUUCUCUAAUUCUGUCUUUUUCUGCAGGUUGUAUUAUUGUGCAUUCCUG
This 4757-nucleotide long non-coding RNA is filed under the name Gossypium raimondii (Peruvian cotton). RNAcentral describes it as "long non-coding RNA (GRAI_LNC001487)". The record is from RNAcentral. Lineage: Eukaryota; Viridiplantae; Streptophyta; Magnoliopsida; Malvales; Malvaceae.